AAACAUGUUUGUUUGGAGUUAUAAAGAAUCUAACCUGCCCCCUGAUUUAAAGGUUAAAGGGCCGCAGUAUUUAUAACUGUGCAAAGGUAGCAUAAUCAUUAGGUUUUUAAUUGGAAUCUUGUAUGAAUGGUUGGACAAAAGAAAAACUCUCUUUAUUUUAGAUUUUGAAUUUAACUUUUAAGUGAAAAGGCUUAAAUAUUCUAAAGGGACGAUAAGACCCUAUAAAACUUUAUAUUGUAGUUUUAUUUUAAUUUAAUUUGAUUUAUAAAUAAAAAUUUAAUAAAAUUAUUUGUUAUGUUGGGGAGACAUGGGUAAAUAUUAUUUUAACUGCUUUAUAAAUAAUACAAUUAUUAGUGUGUAAGUAAAGGAUCCUUUGUUAAAGAUUAGUAGAUUAAGUUACUUUAGGGAUAACAGCGUAAUUUUUUUUGAGAGUUCUUAUCGAAAAAGAAGAUUGCGACCUCGAUGUUGAAUUAAAGUGUCUAUAUAAUGAAGGAGUUAUAUGAGAAGGUCUGUUCGACCUUUAAAAUUUUACAUGAUUUGAGUUCAAACCGGUGAGAGCCAGG
RNAcentral lists this ribosomal RNA (563 nucleotides) under Bottapotamon youxiense. RNAcentral describes it as "partial large subunit ribosomal RNA". It matches the Rfam family "Bacterial large subunit ribosomal RNA", at positions 1827 to 2630 of the family's 2925-position model. The record is from RNAcentral. Lineage: Eukaryota; Metazoa; Arthropoda; Malacostraca; Decapoda; Potamidae.